RNAcentral lists this long non-coding RNA (2028 nucleotides) under Homo sapiens (human). RNAcentral's name for it is "HSALNT0352629". The record is from RNAcentral. Lineage: Eukaryota; Metazoa; Chordata; Mammalia; Primates; Hominidae.
ACAAAUACACAAGGAAAGCUCCAUGGAAGAUAAAGGCAGAGAUUUACAAGCCAAGGAAUGUCAAAGACGGCCAGCACACCACCAGAAGCUAGCAGAGAGGUAUGGAACAGAUUCUUCUUCACAACCUCAGAGGGAAAACCCUGCUGAUACCUGGAUUUCAAACUCCUGGCCUCCAGAACGACAAAGUCUUGCUUGCUCUGUCGCUCAGGAUGGAGUGUAGUGGUAUGAUCUUAGCUCACUACAACCUCUGCCUCCCAGGUUCAAGUGAUUCUCCUGCCUUACGCUCCCAAGUAACUGGGACUACAGGCACACACCACCACACCCAGCUAAUUUUUGUAUUUUUUGUAGAGACGGGGUUUUACCACGUUAGCCGGGCUGGUCUUGAACUCCUGACCUCAGGUGAUCCACCCGCCUCGAUCGCCCAUUAUUAACAAUCAAAUGGCUGUUCUUCAUGGUACUGGUACAAAAACAGAUAUAUACACCAAUGGAACAGAACAGAGGCCUCAGAAACAACACCACACAUCUACAACCAUCUGAUCUUUGACAAACCUGACAAAAACAAGCAAUGAAGAAAGGAUUCCCUAUUUAAUAAAUGGUGUUGGGAAAACUGGCUAGCCAUAUGCAGAAAACUGAAACUGGACCCCUUCCUUACACCUUAUACAAAAAUUAACUCAAGAUGGACUAAAGAUUUAAACAUAAGACCUAAAACAAUAAAAACCCUAGAAGAAAACCUAGGCAUUACCAUUCAGGACAUAGACAUGGGCAAAGACUUAAUGACUAAAACACCAAAAGCAAUGGCAACAAAAGCCAAAACUGACAAAUGAGAUCUAAUUAAACUAAAGAGCUCCUGCAUAGCAAAAGAAACUAUCAUCAGAGUGAACAGGCAACCUACAGAAUGGAAGAAAAUUUUUGCAAUCUAUCCAUCUAACAAAGGGCUAAUAUCCAGAAUCUACAAGGAACUUAAACAAAUUUACAAGAAAAAACAACCCCAUCAAAAAGUGGGCAAAGGAUAUGAACAGACACUUUUCAAAAGAAGACAUUUAUGCAGCCAACAAACAUGAAAAAAAGCUCAUCAUCACGUCAUUAGAGAAAUGCAAAUCAAAACCACAAUGAGAUACCAUCUCACGCCAGUUAGAAUGGCGAUCAUUAAAAUGUCAGGAAACAACAGAUGCUGGAGAGGAUGUGGAGAAAUAGGAAUGCUUUUACACUGCUGGUGGGACUGUAAACUAGUUCAACCAUUGUGGAAGAGAGUGUGGCAGUUCCUCAAGGAUCUAGAACUAGAAAUACCAUUUGACCCAGAAAUCCCAUUACUGGGUAUAUACCAUAAGGAUUAUAAACGAUUCUACUAUAAAGACACACGCACAAGUAUGUUUAUUGCAGCACUAUUCACAAUAGCAAAUAAUUGGAACCAACCGAAAUGCCCAUCAAUGAUAGACUAGAUAAAGAAAAUGUGGUACAUAUACACCAUGGAAUACUAUGUAGCCACAAAAAAGAGUGAGUUUAUGUCCUUUGCAGGGACAUUGAUGAAGCUGGAAGCCAUCAUUCUCAGCAAACUAACACAAGAACAGAAAACCAAACACUGCAUGUUCUCACUCGUAAGUGGGAAUUGAAUAAUGAGAACAUAUGGGCACAGGGAAGGGAACAUCAUACACUGGGGCCUGUCGGGGAGUGGGGGGCACUCUAUCAUUAGGAGAAUUACCUAAUGGAGAUGACGGGUUGAGGGGUGCAGCAAACCACCAUGGCACAUGUAUACCUAUGUAACAAACCUGCACGUUCUGCAUACGUAUCCCAGAACUUAAAGUAUAAUAAAAUAAAUAAAUCAAUAAAUAAAUACAUAAAUAAUAAAAAUCGCUGUUCUUAACAACUGGCUUGCAAAAUUUGACUCUAGCAAGCAAGAAGAUGUGGGCUCUGGCAUGCUACUGCAUGAAGGCAAGAGGAAAACAUUAGGAGCCAAUUUUAGCAUAAUAUUUUGAAGUUGCUGCUUCCAUUGGAGUCACUGUGGCUGCUGGCAACAUGCUGGAGAGGUGG